This 2931-nucleotide ribosomal RNA is filed under the name Escherichia coli. RNAcentral describes it as "23S ribosomal RNA". It matches the Rfam family "Bacterial large subunit ribosomal RNA". The record is from RNAcentral. Lineage: Bacteria; Pseudomonadati; Pseudomonadota; Gammaproteobacteria; Enterobacterales; Enterobacteriaceae.
GGGUUGUGAGGUUAAGCGACUAAGCGUACACGGUGGAUGCCCUGGCAGUCAGAGGCGAUGAAGGACGUGCUAAUCUGCGAUAAGCGUCGGUAAGGUGAUAUGAACCGUUAUAACCGGCGAUUUCCGAAUGGGGAAACCCAGUGUGUUUCGACACACUAUCAUUAACUGAAUCCAUAGGUUAAUGAGGCGAACCGGGGGAACUGAAACAUCUAAGUACCCCGAGGAAAAGAAAUCAACCGAGAUUCCCCCAGUAGCGGCGAGCGAACGGGGAGGAGCCCAGAGUCUGAAUCAGUGUGUGUGUUAGUGGAAGCGUCUGGAAAGGCGCGCGAUACAGGGUGACAGCCCCGUACACAAAAAUGCACAUACUGUGAGCUCGAUGAGUAGGGCGGGACACGUGGUAUCCUGUCUGAAUAUGGGGGGACCAUCCUCCAAGGCUAAAUACUCCUGACUGACCGAUAGUGAACCAGUACCGUGAGGGAAAGGCGAAAAGAACCCCGGCGAGGGGAGUGAAAAAGAACCUGAAACCGUGUACGUACAAGCAGUGGGAGCACGCUUAGGCGUGUGACUGCGUACCUUUUGUAUAAUGGGUCAGCGACUUAUAUUCUGUAGCAAGGUUAACCGAAUAGGGGAGCCGAAGGGAAACCGAGUCUUAACUGGGCGUUAAGUUGCAGGGUAUAGACCCGAAACCCGGUGAUCUAGCCAUGGGCAGGUUGAAGGUUGGGUAACACUAACUGGAGGACCGAACCGACUAAUGUUGAAAAAUUAGCGGAUGACUUGUGGCUGGGGGUGAAAGGCCAAUCAAACCGGGAGAUAGCUGGUUCUCCCCGAAAGCUAUUUAGGUAGCGCCUCGUGAAUUCAUCUCCGGGGGUAGAGCACUGUUUCGGCAAGGGGGUCAUCCCGACUUACCAACCCGAUGCAAACUGCGAAUACCGGAGAAUGUUAUCACGGGAGACACACGGCGGGUGCUAACGUCCGUCGUGAAGAGGGAAACAACCCAGACCGCCAGCUAAGGUCCCAAAGUCAUGGUUAAGUGGGAAACGAUGUGGGAAGGCCCAGACAGCCAGGAUGUUGGCUUAGAAGCAGCCAUCAUUUAAAGAAAGCGUAAUAGCUCACUGGUCGAGUCGGCCUGCGCGGAAGAUGUAACGGGGCUAAACCAUGCACCGAAGCUGCGGCAGCGACGCUUAUGCGUUGUUGGGUAGGGGAGCGUUCUGUAAGCCUGUGAAGGUGUGCUGUGAGGCAUGCUGGAGGUAUCAGAAGUGCGAAUGCUGACAUAAGUAACGAUAAAGCGGGUGAAAAGCCCGCUCGCCGGAAGACCAAGGGUUCCUGUCCAACGUUAAUCGGGGCAGGGUGAGUCGACCCCUAAGGCGAGGCCGAAAGGCGUAGUCGAUGGGAAACAGGUUAAUAUUCCUGUACUUGGUGUUACUGCGAAGGGGGGACGGAGAAGGCUAUGUUGGCCGGGCGACGGUUGUCCCGGUUUAAGCGUGUAGGCUGGUUUUCCAGGCAAAUCCGGAAAAUCAAGGCUGAGGCGUGAUGACGAGGCACUACGGUGCUGAAGCAACAAAUGCCCUGCUUCCAGGAAAAGCCUCUAAGCAUCAGGUAACAUCAAAUCGUACCCCAAACCGACACAGGUGGUCAGGUAGAGAAUACCAAGGCGCUUGAGAGAACUCGGGUGAAGGAACUAGGCAAAAUGGUGCCGUAACUUCGGGAGAAGGCACGCUGAUAUGUAGGUGAAGUCCCUUGCGGAUGGAGCUGAAAUCAGUCGAAGAUACCAGCUGGCUGCAACUGUUUAUUAAAAACACAGCACUGUGCAAACACGAAAGUGGACGUAUACGGUGUGACGCCUGCCCGGUGCCGGAAGGUUAAUUGAUGGGGUCAGCGCAAGCGAAGCUCUUGAUCGAAGCCCCGGUAAACGGCGGCCGUAACUAUAACGGUCCUAAGGUAGCGAAAUUCCUUGUCGGGUAAGUUCCGACCUGCACGAAUGGCGUAAUGAUGGCCAGGCUGUCUCCACCCGAGACUCAGUGAAAUUGAACUCGCUGUGAAGAUGCAGUGUACCCGCGGCAAGACGGAAAGACCCCGUGAACCUUUACUAUAGCUUGACACUGAACAUUGAGCCUUGAUGUGUAGGAUAGGUGGGAGGCUUUGAAGUGUGGACGCCAGUCUGCAUGGAGCCGACCUUGAAAUACCACCCUUUAAUGUUUGAUGUUCUAACGUGGACCCGUGAUCCGGGUUGCGGACAGUGUCUGGUGGGUAGUUUGACUGGGGCGGUCUCCUCCUAAAGAGUAACGGAGGAGCACGAAGGUUGGCUAAUCCUGGUCGGACAUCAGGAGGUUAGUGCAAUGGCAUAAGCCAGCUUGACUGCGAGCGUGACGGCGCGAGCAGGUGCGAAAGCAGGUCAUAGUGAUCCGGUGGUUCUGAAUGGAAGGGCCAUCGCUCAACGGAUAAAAGGUACUCCGGGGAUAACAGGCUGAUACCGCCCAAGAGUUCAUAUCGACGGCGGUGUUUGGCACCUCGAUGUCGGCUCAUCACAUCCUGGGGCUGAAGUAGGUCCCAAGGGUAUGGCUGUUCGCCAUUUAAAGUGGUACGCGAGCUGGGUUUAGAACGUCGUGAGACAGUUCGGUCCCUAUCUGCCGUGGGCGCUGGAGAACUGAGGGGGGCUGCUCCUAGUACGAGAGGACCGGAGUGGACGCAUCACUGGUGUUCGGGUUGUCAUGCCAAUGGCACUGCCCGGUAGCUAAAUGCGGAAGAGAUAAGUGCUGAAAGCAUCUAAGCACGAAACUUGCCCCGAGAUGAGUUCUCCCUGACCCUUUAAGGGUCCUGAAGGAACGUUGAAGACGACGACGUUGAUAGGCCGGGUGUGUAAGCGCAGCGAUGCGUUGAGCUAACCGGUACUAAUGAACCGUGAGGCUUAACCUUACAACGCCGAAGGUGUUU